Molecule: ribosomal RNA, 775 nt
Filed under: uncultured Neocallimastigales
Lineage: Eukaryota; Fungi; Neocallimastigomycota; Neocallimastigomycetes; Neocallimastigales
Description: partial large subunit ribosomal RNA
Rfam family: Eukaryotic large subunit ribosomal RNA
Source: RNAcentral
UACUAGAGUAGCACUCGCAUAUCAAUAAGCGGAGGAAAAGAAACUAACAAGGAUUCCCCUAGUAACGGCGAGUGAAGCGGGAAGAGCUCAAAUUUGAAAUCUUAAAGGGUUUCCCUUUACGAAUUGUAGUUUAAAGAAGUGUUUUCUGUUGAGGUUUUGGUAAAAGUUCUUUGGAAUAGGACAUCAUAGAGGGUGAGAAUCCCGUAUUUGACCUUUACUUUCAACUUUGUGAUACACUUUCAAAGAGUCGGAUUGUUUGGGAAUGCAGUCCAAAAUGGGUGGUAAAUUUCAUCUAAAGCUAAAUAUUGGCGAGAGACCGAUAGCGAACAAGUACCGUGAGGGAAAGACUGAAAAGAACUUUGAGAAGAGAGUUAAACAGUACGUGAAAUUGUCAAAAGGGAAGCGUUUGACACCAGUGUUGUUUUUCUGAAAAUCAAUUAAAGAACUGUUUAUGCUAAGCUGUUUAGACUUUAUCAGCUAUCUGUUUAGUUUUAGGCUUUUCUUUAAUGCACUUUUCAGUUAACAAGUCAACAUCAAUUUCUUUUGCUGUAAAAAAGCUUGAGGAAGGUGGCUUGAGAUUCGUCUUAAGUGUUUAUAGCCUCUUGCCUAUGCAGUCGGAGAGAUUGAGGUCUGCAGCGUAGAUCCUUCGGGGCUAAAUGCAUUUGUGCUAAGUUAUAGCAUUUUAUAGACAACUUGUUGACUAUGAUUUGUCUUGUAGCUUACUCGCUUAUGUUAUUUUACCUACGCUUAGGAUGUUGAGCGCAUGUCUCUCUCU